GAUGAACGCUGGCGGCGUGCCUAAUACAUGCAAGUCGAGCGAACAGAUGAGGAGCUUGCUCCUCUGACGUUAGCGGCGGACGGGUGAGUAACACGUGGAUAACCUACCUAUAAGACUGGGAUAACUACGGGAAACCGGAGCUAAUACCGGAUAAUAUAUUGAACCGCAUGGUUCAAUAGUGAAAGACGGUUUUGCUGUCACUUAUAGAUGGAUCCGCGCCGCAUUAGCUAGUUGGUAAGGUAACGGCUUACCAAGGCAACGAUGCGUAGCCGACCUGAGAGGGUGAUCGGCCACACUGGAACUGAGACACGUGCCAGACUCCUACGGGAGGCAGCAGUAGGGAAUCUUCCGCAAUGGGCGAAAGCCUGACGGAGCAACGCCGCGUGAGUGAUGAAGGUCUUCGGAUCGUAAAACUCUGUUAUUAGGGAAGAACAAAUGUGUAAGUAACUAUGCACGUCUUGACGGUACCUAAUCAGAAAGCCACGGCUAACUACGUG
This 497-nucleotide ribosomal RNA is filed under the name uncultured bacterium. RNAcentral's name for it is "partial 16S ribosomal RNA". It matches the Rfam family "Bacterial small subunit ribosomal RNA", at positions 28 to 507 of the family's 1533-position model. The record is from RNAcentral.